GUCGUUUGGCCCACAACGGGUUACCGUUCGUGAGUGCCUUACUUGACUUGGCUUUCCUUCUAGUCUGGUUUCUUGCGCUGCUUCAUUGCGGCCAAGUUGCUACUAUAGACUAGAUCUUUUACUUUGAAAAAAUUAGAGUGUUUCAAGCAGGCUUUAUGCUAUGAAUACAUUAGCAUGGAAUAAUAAUUUAGGACUUCGGUUCUAUUUUGUUGGUUUCUAGGACUGAAGUAAUGAUUGAUAGGGAUAGUUGGGGGUGCUAGUAUUCAGCGGCCAGAGGUGAAAUUCUCGGAUUCGCUGAAGACUAACUUAUGCGAAAGCAUU
This 321-nucleotide ribosomal RNA is filed under the name Cercozoa sp. RNAcentral's name for it is "SSU rRNA". The stretch from base 100 to 321 matches the Rfam family "Eukaryotic small subunit ribosomal RNA", at positions 733 to 955 of the family's 1831-position model. Lineage: Eukaryota; Cercozoa. The record is from RNAcentral.